CUUCUAAUGCAGAUCAUUUCAGUAGUAUUAUCAUAACUUCUAACGCAGAUCAUUUCAGUAGUGUUAUCAUAACAACUUCUAAUGCAGAUCAUUUCAGUAGUAUUAUCAUAACUUCUAACGCAGAUCAUUUCAGUUGUAUUAUCAUAACAACUUCUAAUGCAGAUCAUUUCAGUAGUGUUAUCAUAACAACUUCUAAUGCGGAUCAUUUCAGUAAUAUUAUCAUAACGACUUCUAAUGCAGAUCAUUUCAGUAGUGUUAUCAUAACAACUUCUAAUGCAGAUCAUUUCAGUAGUGUUAUCAUAACAACUUCUAAUGCAGAUCAUUUCAGUAAUAUCAUAACUUCUAACGCAGAUCAUUUCAGUAGUGUUAUCAUAACAACUUCUAAUGCAGAUCAUUUCAGUAGUGUUAUCAUAACAACUUCUAAUGCAGAUCAUUUCAGUAGUGUUAUCAUAACAACUUCUAAUGCAGAUCAUUUCAGUAGUAUUAUCAUAACAACUUCUAAUGCAGAUCAUUUCAGUAGUGUUGUCAUAACAACUUCUAAUGCAGAUCAUUUCAGUAAUAUUAUCAUAACAACUUCUAAUGCAGAUCAUUUCAGUAGUGUUGUCAUAACAACUUCUAAUGCAGAUCAUUUCAGUAGUAUUAUCAUAACAACUUCUAAUGCAGAUCAUUUCAGUAGUGUUGUCAUAACAACUUCUAAUGCAGAUCAUUUCAGUAGUAUUAUCAUAACAACUUCUAAUGCAGAUCAUUUCAGUAGUGUUGUCAUAACAACUUCUAAUGCAGAUCAUUUCAGUAAUAUUAUCAUAACAACUUCUAAUGCAGAUCAUUUCAGUAGUGCUAUCAUAACAACUUCUAAUGCAGAUCAUUUCAGUAAUAUCAUAACUUCUAACGCAGAUCAUUUCAGUAGUGUUAUCAUAACAACUUCUAAUGCAGAUCAUUUCAGUAGUGUUAUCAUAACAACUUCUAAUGCAGAUCAUUUCAGUAGUGUUGUCAUAACAACUUCUAAUGCAGAUCAUUUCAGUAGUAUUAUCAUAACAACUUCUAAUGCAGAUCAUUUCAGUAGUGUUGUCAUAACAACUUCUAAUGCAGAUCAUUUCAGUAAUAUUAUCAUAACAACUUCUAAUGCAGAUCAUUUC
This 1133-nucleotide long non-coding RNA is filed under the name Oncorhynchus mykiss (rainbow trout). RNAcentral's name for it is "lncRNA (ENSOMYG00000050475.1)". The record is from RNAcentral. Lineage: Eukaryota; Metazoa; Chordata; Actinopteri; Salmoniformes; Salmonidae.